GUUUGGAGUUCACAGUGAGUGUUUUUCGAACCAGAAACUCAAGCUGGCAGUGACUAUACAUAUGUGGGACGCAACAAACUUGCUCACAAUCUUAAACUGGACUCAGGGAAGAAAUCACCUCUAAUCGCUCAAAUUCUGCAAACAAACUAAACUACAUGUUCCUGCAACUACAGUUCCUAUUGCAAAUAAAAUACAGGAACCGGUUAAUAAUUCUCUGAGGAAAGAAAAGCCAAGAGAAGAAAAGAAAAGUCAAGAAACAAACAAUUUAAACCAUAU
This is a long non-coding RNA of Homalodisca vitripennis (glassy-winged sharpshooter), 276 nucleotides long. RefSeq lists it as uncharacterized. The record is from RefSeq and is a predicted model, not a curated record. Lineage: Eukaryota; Metazoa; Arthropoda; Insecta; Hemiptera; Cicadellidae. The transcript is spliced from 3 exons.